This 253-nucleotide ribosomal RNA is filed under the name uncultured bacterium. RNAcentral's name for it is "partial 16S ribosomal RNA". It matches the Rfam family "Bacterial small subunit ribosomal RNA", at positions 524 to 776 of the family's 1533-position model. The record is from RNAcentral.
UACGAAGGGGGCUAGCGUUGCUCGGAAUCACUGGGCGUAAAGGGUGCGUAGGCGGGUUUUUAAGUCAGAGGUGAAAUCCUGGAGCUCAACUCCAGAACUGCCUUUGAUACUGAAAGUCUUGAGUAUGGGAGAGGUGAGUGGAACUGCGAGUGUAGAGGUGAAAUUCGUAGAUAUUCGCAAGAACACCAGUGGCGAAGGCGGCUCACUGGUCCGGUACUGACGCUGAGGUGCGAAAGCGUGGGGAGCAAACAGG